Molecule: ribosomal RNA, 468 nt
Filed under: uncultured bacterium
Lineage: Bacteria
Description: partial 16S ribosomal RNA
Rfam family: Bacterial small subunit ribosomal RNA
Source: RNAcentral
GACGAACGCUGGCGGCGUGCUUAACACAUGCAAGUCGAACGGAAAGGCCCUGCUUUUGUGGUGCUCUCGUGUGGAGCGGGGGAGUGACACACGUGUGAACCCCCCUCCUGUUUGGGGGAUACCUUGAGGAGACUGGGGAAUAUACCGUAUAGCAUCUCCUGCAGCGUGGGGGGGGUAAGAAAUUAUCGGUGUUGGGGGAUGGGGUCGCGGCGUAUCAGCUUGGUGGGGGGGUAGUGGCUUACCAAGGCGUGGACGGGUAGGCGGCCUGGGAGGGUGACCGGCCACAUUGGGACUGAGAUACGGCCCAGACUCCUACGGGAGGCAGCAGUGGGGAAGAUUGCACAAUGGGCGGAAGCCUGAUGCAGCAACGCCGCGUGUGGGAUGACGGCCUUCGGGUUGUAAACCUCUUUCGCCAGUGACGAAGCGUAAGUGACGGUAACUGGAUAAGAAGCACCGGCUAACUACGUG